GACGAACGCUGGCGGCGUGCUUAACACAUGCAAGUCGAACGGAAAGGCCCUGCUUUUGUGGGGUGCUCGAGUGGCGAACGGGUGAGUAACACGUGAGUAACCUGCCCUUGACUUUGGGAUAACUUCAGGAAACUGGGGCUAAUACCGGAUAGGAGCUCCUGCUGCAUGGUGAGGGUUGGAAAGUUUCGGCGGUUGGGGAUGGACUCGCGGCUUAUCAGCUUGUUGGUGGGGUAGUGGCUUACCAAGGCUUUGACGGGUAGCCGGCCUGAGAGGGUGACCGGCCACAUUGGGACUGAGAUACGGCCCAGACUCCUACGGGAGGCAGCAGUGGGGAAUAUUGCACAAUGGGCGGAAGCCUGAUGCAGCAACGCCGCGUGCGGGAUGACGGCCUUCGGGUUGUAAACCGCUUUCGCCUGUGACGAAGCGUGAGUGACGGUAAUGGGUAAAGAAGCACCGGCUAACUACGUGCCAGCAGCCGCGGUGAUACGUAGGGUGCGAGCGUUGUCCGGAUUUAUUGGGCGUAAAGGGCUCGUAGGUGGUUGAUCGCGUCGGAAGUGUAAUCUUGGGGCUUAACCCUGAGCGUGCUUUCGAUACGGGUUGACUUGAGGAAGGUAGGGGAGAAUGGAAUUCCUGGUGGAGCGGUGGAAUGCGCAGAUAUCAGGAGGAACACCAGUGGCGAAGGCGGUUCUCUGGGCCUUUCCUGACGCUGAGGAGCGAAAGCGUGGGGAGCGAACAGGCUUAGAUACCCUGGUAGUCCACGCUGUAAACGGUGGGUACUAGGUGUGGGGUCCAUUCCACGGGUUCCGUGCCGUAGCUAACGCUUUAAGUACCCCGCCUGGGGAGUACGGCCGCAAGGCUAAAACUCAAAGGAAUUGACGGGGCCCCGCACGAGCGGCGGAGCAUGCGGAUUAAUUCGAUGCAACGCGUAGAACCUUACCUGGGUUUGACAUGGAUCGGGAGUGCUCAGAGAUGGGUGUGCCUCUUUUGGGGUCGGUUCACAGGUGGUGCAUGGCUGUCGUCAGCUCGUGUCGUGAGAUGUUGGGUUAAGUCCCGCAACGAGCGCAACCCUUGUUCACUGUUGCCAGCACGUUAUGGUGGGGACUCAGUGGAGACCGCCGGGGUCAACUCGGAGGAGGGUGGGGAUGACGUCAAGUCAUCAUGCCCCUUAUGUCCAGGGCUUCGCGCAUGCUACAAUGGCUGGUACAGAGAGUGGCGAGCCUGUGAGGGUGAGCGAAUCUCGGAAAGCCGGUCUCAGUUCGGAUUGGGGUCUGCAACUCGACCUCAUGAAGUCGGAGUCGCUAGUAAUCGCAAAUCAGCAACGCUGCGGUGAAUACGUUCCCGGGGC
RNAcentral lists this ribosomal RNA (1345 nucleotides) under uncultured bacterium. Its description in RNAcentral is "partial 16S ribosomal RNA". It matches the Rfam family "Bacterial small subunit ribosomal RNA", at positions 28 to 1380 of the family's 1533-position model. The record is from RNAcentral.